CAGCAGCUCCCUCCAGCAAGGGAAUAAAAGAGGCCUGGGGGACCCCCUGCCCAGCUUCAGGCCUCGGGGAGCAGAACCGGCGCCUCCACCAUGGCCUGGACCCCUCUCCUGCUGGGCCUCCUGGCUCACUGCACAGGCUCCGUGGCCUCCUACGAGCUGACCCAGGCCCCCUCAGUGUCCGUGUCCCCAGGAGGGACGGCCAGGAUCACCUGCGGGGGUGACAACAUUGGAAGUAAAAAUGUUUAUUGGUACCAGCAGAAGCCCACCCAGGCCCCCAGGCUGCUCAUCUAUGAAGACAGCAAACGGCCCUCAGGGAUCCCUGACCGGUUCUCUGGCUCUAACUCGGGCAACAUGGCCACCCUGACCAUCAGCGGGGCCCGGGCUGAGGACGAGGCUGACUAUUACUGUCAAGUGUGGGAUGAUGGUCAGCCCAAGGCCGCACCCUCGGUCACCCUCUUCCCGCCCUCCUCCGAGGAGCUCAGCGCCAACAAGGCCACAGUGGUGUGUCUCAUCAGUGACUUCUACCCCGGCGCCGUGACGGUGGCCUGGAAGGCAGACGGCGCCCCCGUCACCCAGGGCGUGGAGACCACCAAGCCCUCCAAACAGAGGAACAACAAGUACGCGGCCAGCAGCUACCUGAGGCUCUCCCCCAACGCGUGGAAGUCUCACAGCAGCGUCAGCUGCCAGGUCACGCACGAAGGGAGCACCGUGGAGAGGACGCUGGCCCCCAGGGAGUGCUCUUAGGCCCCGAGCCCCCGCCCCUGGGCGCCUGGACACACAGGCCUCCGGGGAGGGUCUCCCUCACCCCGCGCUCCCCCCAGCCCUCUCCCUGCUCCUCAUCAAUUCGCAAUAAAGGGCCCUCCUUGCCCAUCA
Manis javanica (Malayan pangolin) is the source of this 873-nucleotide non-coding RNA. The record is from the annotation of a RefSeq genome assembly. Lineage: Eukaryota; Metazoa; Chordata; Mammalia; Pholidota; Manidae.